This is a small nucleolar RNA of Bufo bufo (common toad), 68 nucleotides long. NCBI's taxonomy places the organism in Eukaryota, Metazoa, Chordata, Amphibia, Anura, Bufonidae. The record is from RefSeq and is a predicted model, not a curated record.
GAUACUUGUGAUGAUCUUUACCGCCCCAGUCUGAUAUUCAGUGACUGAUCGGUAUAUACUGAGUUUGU